UCAAUAUGUAUGUAAUAUUUAACAUGUAACAACUUUGAUCAAAAGGCACGUCUCAUGCUACCCUCAAUUGAAUUUAACUUGUAUGUAUUGCAAAAUCCAAAGCAUCACUCAUGGGUCUCACCUUGCCUUUUAGCCUCCCUCGCCACACACCAAAUUAUCUCCGGCUAUCCGUCCCUCUUCUUCUCCCAUAUUCUCGCUGCGUGAUCACCAGCAGUUGCAGCACCCAUCUAAUUAUAUAUCUAUAGUUUCAAACGGCCUCUAGUUCUUCUUCGAUCUUCUAAUUCUCACCAGCAUAAACCAGUAACAAAACCCCCUCAGAAGUCGUUUUGGUUGUAGUUUGAUGGGGUCGUUAAAGGAAGAGAGAGAUGGAAGUUUCAGGGACGAGCAGGACAGAGUACUGAAGAAAAGAAUAGUUUAUAUAUGGUCGUUAAUGGUGUUAGUGAUGGGGGGUUUAACUCUGGGAUGGUGGGAGUAUGAAUACCACCCCACAAACAGUCAACUCUGGAUGGUGCCCUUUGGUCUCAUUCUGCUUGUUACGCCACUCUUUGUCUGGUUCUCCAUCUUUGUUUCCGAUGCAUGUAGCUUAUCUGAGGUGGACAAGAUUCCAAUGGUGAGUCAGCCCGUUCGUCCAGUACCAGAUGACUCAGUUUGAUGCAAGAUCAAGCGCGCUGUUACCUACUGAUUGAGCAUCUUUUCCACAGUCGGUUUGUUUGUUGGAAUUACUUUUUCUUUUAUUUUAGAUUAAUCGAUUACAAAGUCAUGAUAACGAGUUCUACACUACAUGAAUGUUAUCAUACUCUCCAUCGAUCCUAUUUUGUAUUAAAACUAUCAAAUUUGGUAAGAACACAGACCCUUUACAA
Carya illinoinensis is the source of this 860-nucleotide long non-coding RNA. RefSeq lists it as uncharacterized. The record is from RefSeq and is a predicted model, not a curated record. The transcript has 2 exons. NCBI's taxonomy places the organism in Eukaryota, Viridiplantae, Streptophyta, Magnoliopsida, Fagales, Juglandaceae.